RNAcentral lists this ribosomal RNA (230 nucleotides) under uncultured bacterium. RNAcentral describes it as "partial 16S ribosomal RNA". It matches the Rfam family "Bacterial small subunit ribosomal RNA", at positions 562 to 791 of the family's 1533-position model. The record is from RNAcentral.
AAAGGGUCCGUAGGCGGGCCCGUAAGUCAGUGGUGAAAUCUCAUAGCUCAACUAUGAAACUGCCAUUGAUACUGCGGGCCUUGAGUAAGGUAGAGGUAGCUGGAAUAAGUAGUGUAGCGGUGAAAUGCAUAGAUAUUACUUAGAACACCAAUUGCGAAGGCAGGUUACCAUGUCUUAACUGACGCUGAUGGACGAAAGCGUGGGGAGCGAACAGGAUUAGAUACCCCUGU